UCCAACUACCCCUUUUAGAAAUGAAGGAGAUAUUUAAAUUCGGAGGAAAUUGCUGCACAACAGCCAAGCUAAAAUAAACCAGUUAACACUCAUUUGGUGGAGCUCCAAAGGUGGGAAGUCUGAGGUCAAGGUGCUGGCGCCCGAGAGGAACCUUCCUGUUUCGUGGACGACUGGCAAACAAUGAGGGUGUCACUUUACCACAAGCCCCCUCCUGAUGAAGAACCCAGUCCUGUUGAUGAUGACAUCAGCUCAUGCAGGAAGACAGUCACCUGAGCAUCUUUAACAAGAGUUGUCAAAGCCAGCAGGGUGCCUGGGCGUGGGUGUCUAGUGGAAGACAAGUUCCUGUGAGAGGGGGCAAACCCGGAAGCCCAUAGUGAUGCCUCACAGGCAGGUGGGAGCAAGGAAAACAGCCAAAGAGACCUGGUGUCUCCAAGGCUCAGCACUCAGAAAAGAGGAGAGUCCAGGGACAUCGUAAAAUGUACCAAGAAGAGGCAGGAAAACCUCAUGAGAUUCAAAAGACAGAGUUUCCAGACCAGCACAAGGAAGACGAGUGGCCUGAACUGACCCUAAUAUUCAGCUCUCAUGCAGUUC
Myodes glareolus (Bank vole) is the source of this 591-nucleotide non-coding RNA. The record is from RefSeq and is a predicted model, not a curated record. Lineage: Eukaryota; Metazoa; Chordata; Mammalia; Rodentia; Cricetidae.